GAAAACGGGCUCCUGUUUACAGACCAGGUCAGGAGGUUUGGCUGUCAGCCAAAGACAUUGUCCUAAAAGCUGCACCCAAGAAACUAUCUCCUAGGUAUUUGGGACCUUUUGAGAUCCAGGCUAUUGUGAACCCCUCUGCGGUCAGGCUCAAGCUCCCUCCUUCUCUCAGGGUCCAUCCCGUCUUUCAUGUGUCCCUGCUUAAGCCUGUGAGAUCCAGUCCACUUUACCCUCCGGAUAAUCCCCCUCCUCCCGUCCGUCAUGUUGAUGGGGGCCCGGUUUAUACCAUUAAUAAGAUACUUGAUGUCCGUCGAAGAGGCAGAGGUUUUCAAUACCUCGUGGAUUGGAAAGGUUACGGCCCUGAAGAACGCUCUUGGAUUCCCAGAUCAUUUAUUCUGGACCAGUCGGUUCUGAGGAGAUUUCAUGCUACCAGGGCUUCAGGUUCACCUGGACCGCCAGGUGGCGGUCAUUGAGGGAGGGGUAAUGUUAGGAUUCAAGUUGGUGUGAGUGCUCUUCUAACAGACGAUCUUCGUGGGAGCGUUUCCGGCAGACUGGCGCACCUGCAGCGGAUUCCCGCAAUCGGCUGCAGGAUUCUUAAGAAGCGGUGGAGCAGCUAUUCAUCGCUCGAUGGUCCCACUUGUUGAUCUCGAUCAGUUGUCUGGAUCAAGCCAGGAACCACGCCUAUCACAGCGCGCAGCAGCGGCUGCUCUUUGUCACCCGGACUCCUCCGCCUGCCGAUCGUGCCCCUGUCACUCUCGCAGAACCUCUGUGCCUCUUGGAUCCGUUCCCCUUCCUCAGCAACCCUGCAUCAGACGAACUGUAAGCAAUACUCUCCAUUCCCCUGUCAAGAUUCCCUCAACCCGGUUCUCACUAACCUCUCCCUCUCCAAGCAGAACCGGAGCCGCCCAACCGCUGCCGGUUCGAGAGUCAACCUGGAUUAGAUUUCAUUCAACAUUUAUUGUUAAAUAAAUAAUUUUGAAUCAAGA
Molecule: long non-coding RNA, 983 nt
Organism: Gambusia affinis (western mosquitofish)
Lineage: Eukaryota; Metazoa; Chordata; Actinopteri; Cyprinodontiformes; Poeciliidae
Exons: 2
Source: RefSeq, a predicted model, not a curated record